RNAcentral lists this non-coding RNA (45 nucleotides) under Trichobilharzia regenti. The record is from RNAcentral. Lineage: Eukaryota; Metazoa; Platyhelminthes; Trematoda; Strigeidida; Schistosomatidae.
GGUAUGCAGAUGAGUCCCAAAUAGGACGAAAUGUGCAUCCAUUGC